AAGUGCUCAAUAAAUGCGAUUGAAUGGAAGCGCCCUGGGGGCCUGGAACCUGCCGCUUUUUUAUUCUGUACCUGUCUGGUGCCCAGAACGUUGCGCUGCACAAUCCGGGCGCUCGGGAAAUAUUUAUACUAACGCACCAUUACUUCUGCGUUUCCGCCCUGGCCAGUGCCUCCGUCGAUUGGCGCCCCCAGUCUCAGGCUCCGGGGGAGGGAAGGCACGCCCGACCUGCUUCCCCCGCGUCCACCUCCUCCCCCGACCGGUCGUUUUUCUGUUUUAACAGCUGAGGUUCCGGCGGGCAAGGCGUCAUCGUUCGGAUCUUGUGGCCGUUACCGUUGGGAGGGCCGUUUAUCCUUGGCCUGGGGCCAGGCGGUGGGACCUGAGAGCCGACUGUUUUGCAGAGGGCUGUCCUGCCCUGGGGCCCAGGAAGCGGCCCCCCAACAGACCCUCUUACGUCCGUGCCGCCCGCUGUAACGGUGCUGCUCCCUGGUUGACGUCCAAGCCCUCUCCUGCCCCCAGGGCACCUGGGAGUGUGGCUACUGUUCCAGUUUUAUCCGGAGCUACCGGGCUCCUCUAGCCGAGACCUCGGGCCCCAAGGAACCCAGCGAGGAAGCAGUCUGGGGUCCUGCCCUUUCACCCGGUGCCUCCCCUCCUCUGGAAGUUGGCGGACCACGGCCUGUGACCAAAGCCUUAGGCCGGCUUCCGAUGGAACACCGGAGCAAAACCCAACAUUCCUGGAGGUCCUGGAGGAAUGGGAAGCUGCUGCCCUGACAGUGGGGUCAUUUGAAAAAAGCACAAUGAGAAAACCAAACAGUUUUCAGAGAAGGAGCGGCAUCUGUAGUCGAAGGGAUUCCGAUCGGACGUGAAGCCAACUGGGAGGCUGUAGGUGAUUUGAAGGUGGGGAACACCUCCGUCUUCUUUAUCAGGCUGCAGGUUCAAUCCUGGUCAUCCAGUCGACCGGUGGAUCCAUCUGUCAGCAUUUAUUAAGUUUCUACUAAACGCAAAACAUUUUACUAAGCACUUGACCGGUAGAAGCGAAAGAAACAUAUUCCCCACCCCACUGCCCCCGCCCACGGGGAUCUUAAGUCUAAUGGGUACAUGAGGCAAGUAAGAAGACUCAGCAUCCUUUCUGGGGACUGAACCACUUGAUCUUUGACCCGAUUUGUAAUGAAAAACAGUGGCCAAGUUCAAAGUCGGGCGUUCCCUCCCACUGCCGGUACAAGCGGGACCUCCUUUCCCCUGAAAGUGGGCCUCUGGAGGUCAUGGCAACCGAGAUGAUCUGCUCCUCAUUUGGGAAACAGUGGUCGUUUUAGUAGCGGAAUAGCCAGGGCGCCUCCUUUCCGUAAGGUUCUUCGCCGCUUUGACCAACUCAAGAAAAUAAUAAAUAAGCCAGAGAUUUGCACCGGUGAGAGAACAAACCUGAGACAGCUCAUGUGCCCUGUAAACAAGUUUGUGUAGUGCGCAUAUGUGUGGGUUUGCUCGCGGGCGUGCGCGUGGGCGUGCGGGGCAUUCCGAUACAUCUCCAGCAGGGGUAUUAGGGAUUUGGCAUCUGUACAUUUCAUCCAGCGGUCUGGAAACGAUCGUCUCGGCCGUUUCCCUGAUGCAGCGAUUGCGUGGACGACGGACGAACGUUCUUGUCCGGAGGCGACCCGGCACACGGGGUCGGCUGGUCAUUUCCCCGGGGGAGAGCCAGGUGGCUCACAGGGGGACCACGGCCGGGUUCAUCUCCAGCCCCCGUGCUUGGGGGAGGAUGCAGGUCUGCCCUGCUGGCCGCCACGGAGUUGCCAGCUGUGGGCCAGCUUGUUGCCAGGCAGCUCCCAACGCUUCCAUUUGCCAUUUCCUGCCCGGCCCUCUCCACCUGUCUCUCAACCAUCCCUAUUGUUUUUGGGGAGUGGGGCUCAGGGAGCGUCUCAAGAGACCCCCGGGGCUGAGCCUGGAGCCCUGAGGGACCGCCUGCCCGCCCCGCCCCUUGUGUUGGCUGUAGUGGUGCCCGGCAGGAGGGCAGAGGUCUCUGGGCUCUCUGUGGUUGAUGGAGGAGGAAUCUCUCGGCUUCAUCUAGGCUGAAGGCUGGAAGCCUCAAGCGGACAGGUUCCAAGUUGCCAUCACUGUGCAUUCUGCUCGCAACGUGGCUCCUCCCAAGCUAUUAUUUGCCGGGAAGACCCGGGACAAGGUUUGACUCAGUCGUGCCGGCGGGGCGGGAUACUCUGGCUUCGGGUAGACGGGCGACGCGGAGCGGGAGAAGCUGUGGAUCGGCUGCGCGCGGGGCGGUAGGCCGGACCUUUCCGGGUUCGGCCCGACUCAAGCGGGUCUCCCUCCACUCGGUUCUCGGGAGCAUUCUGGGGGAGAUGAGGUCGGGCCCGGUUCGGCCCGCCAGGCCCGCCGGGAUAGGCAGCCGGAAAGCCUUCGGACCGGCCGGGUGUUCGGGGAGGCCGUGCGAGCCGGACCGUUUCAAGCCCGAACAAAGCUGAGCGGUUCUGUCCGACCUGACAUCUUUACAGCCCUUGAUAAAUGAUGAUCCCAGAUGGGGAUUUAAAGCCUGAAUUGAAACCCUUUCCUCCUUUGUAUGGAAGGAAUGCGCCUUAAGAGACAUGUUUUGUUUUAAUAAAUCCUAUUGUCUUGAUGUAUCAGUUCCUAAACCGUUCCUUAUUCUUCCCUUGUGUUCUUUUG
Ornithorhynchus anatinus (platypus) is the source of this 2664-nucleotide long non-coding RNA. RefSeq lists it as uncharacterized. The transcript has 5 exons. NCBI's taxonomy places the organism in Eukaryota, Metazoa, Chordata, Mammalia, Monotremata, Ornithorhynchidae. The record is from RefSeq and is a predicted model, not a curated record.